CGCGUGCUAAUACAUGCAAGCUCGAGAGAGCUGAAUUCAAAGAUUCCUUCGGGAUGAUUUGUUGGACGCUAGCGGCGGAUGGGUGAGUAACACGUGGGCAAUCUGCCCUAAAGACUGGGAUACCACUUGGAAACAGGUGCUAAUACCGGAUAACAACAUGAAUCGCAUGAUUCAAGUUUGAAAGGCGGCGUAAGCUGUCACUUUAGGAUGAGCCCGCGGCGCAUUAGCUUGUUGGUGGGGUAA
Molecule: ribosomal RNA, 243 nt
Filed under: Lactobacillus delbrueckii subsp. bulgaricus
Lineage: Bacteria; Bacillati; Bacillota; Bacilli; Lactobacillales; Lactobacillaceae
Description: partial 16S ribosomal RNA
Rfam family: Bacterial small subunit ribosomal RNA
Source: RNAcentral